This 253-nucleotide ribosomal RNA is filed under the name uncultured bacterium. Its description in RNAcentral is "partial 16S ribosomal RNA". It matches the Rfam family "Bacterial small subunit ribosomal RNA", at positions 524 to 776 of the family's 1533-position model. The record is from RNAcentral.
UACGUAGGGUGCGAGCGUUAAUCGGAAUUACUGGGCGUAAAGCGUGCGCAGGCGGUUAUGUAAGACAGAUGUGAAAUGCCCGGGCUCAACCUGGGAACUGCAUUUGUGACUGCAUGGCUAGAGUGUGUCAGAGGGGGGUAGAAUUCCACGUGUAGCAGUGAAAUGCGUAGAUAUGCGGAGGAACACCGAUGGCGAAGGCAAUCCCCUGGGCCUGUACUGACGCUCAUGCACGAAAGCGUGGGGAGCAAACAGG